This 535-nucleotide ribosomal RNA is filed under the name uncultured archaeon. RNAcentral describes it as "bacterial SSU rRNA". It matches the Rfam family "Archaeal small subunit ribosomal RNA", at positions 345 to 879 of the family's 1478-position model. The record is from RNAcentral.
AACCUUUACACUGCACGACAGUGCGAUAGGGGGACUCCGAGUGCGAGGGCAUAUAGUCCUCGCUUUUCUGUACCGUAAGGUGGUACAAGAAUAAGGGCUGGGCAAGACCGGUGCCAGCCGCCGCGGUAAUACCGGCAGCCCGAGUGAUGGCCGCUAUUAUUGGGCCUAAAGCGUCCGUAGCCGGCCAGACAAGUCCGUUGGGAAAUCGACGCGCUCAACGCGUCGGCGUCCGGCGGAAACUGUCUGGCUUGGGGCCGGAAGACUCGAGGGGUACGUCCGGGGUAGGAGUGAAAUCCCGUAAUCCUGGACGGACCACCGGUGGCGAAAGCGCCUCGAGAAGACGGACCCGACGGUGAGGGACGAAAGCUAGGGUCUCGAACCGGAUUAGAUACCCGGGUAGUCCUAGCCGUAAACGAUGCUCGCUAGGUGUGCCGCAGGCUACGAGCCUGCGCUGUGCCGUAGGGAAGCCGUGAAGCGAGCCGCCUGGGAAGUACGUCUGCAAGGAUGAAACUUAAAGGAAUUGGCGGGGGAGCAC